This 355-nucleotide unclassified non-coding RNA is filed under the name Hevea brasiliensis (rubber tree). Lineage: Eukaryota; Viridiplantae; Streptophyta; Magnoliopsida; Malpighiales; Euphorbiaceae. The record is from RNAcentral.
UUUUUUUUUUUUUUUUUACUGUAGGAGUAGGAGAAAAGCGUUUCAACUAUCAUUAAGUCAAUAGUCAAUGCUCUCCAUCAAACUCAAAUACACCAGCACCACGGAAAUCGGCAGCAUGGAUACAAAGAAACGCAGAAACGGAUACGGGACAGUUCCCGAAUCGCGUAUAAGGUUAAUAUUAAAAAUAUAAUUAUACCUAAUUUUUUUUGUAUAUCAUUAAAUUAAUUAAUCAGAAUAGAAUUCUUUGAUUGAAUACUAUUAGAAAAAUAACGACAAUUAUCCUUUAAAAAAUUAAGGGAAAAAACAAAUAAGAAAUUGGACCAAAAAUAGAAGGAAGAAAUAGGGGGAAAAAAAA